RNAcentral lists this ribosomal RNA (301 nucleotides) under uncultured bacterium. RNAcentral's name for it is "partial 16S ribosomal RNA". It matches the Rfam family "Bacterial small subunit ribosomal RNA", at positions 509 to 808 of the family's 1533-position model. The record is from RNAcentral.
CAGUCGCCGCGGGAAUACGGAGGGUGCAAGCGUUAAUCGGAAUUACUGGGCGUAAAGCGCACGCAGGCGGUCUGACAAGUCAGAUGUGAAAUCCCGGGCUUAACCUGGGAACUGCAUUUGAAACUGUCAGGCUGGAGUCUUGUAGAGGGGGGUGGAAUUCCAGGUGUAGCGGUGAAAUGCGUAGAGAUCUGGAGGAAUACCGGUGGCGAAGGCGGCCCCCUGGACAAAGACUGACGCUCAGGUGCGAAAGCGUGGGGAGCAAACAGGAUUAGAUACCCCGGUAGUCCCUGUCUCUUAUACA